CUCAGAAAACCUCCCUCCUUUGGAGAGUCCACCAUGGCCCCACCUCUGCUUUUCCUGGCUCUUCUCAGUUACUGUUCAGGUAAGGAGGCAAAGCGAUAAUCUUAUGUAAGUGCAAGAGAAAGAAGGAGAAGAAGAAUCUAAGAUGGUUAUCAAAGAAACAUAUUGCUCCUGCAGUAUUGGGGAGCACAGAGGAUCAAAGGAUUUGAUUUUCCUUUUUUGCAAGGUGUCACUUCACAGCCAGCCUUGACUCAGCCAGUCUCCCAGUCUGUGUCCCCAGGUGAAACUGAAACUCUCCUGCUCUCAAAAUAGUGGUGGUAGCUGGAGCAGGUUUCACUGGAAUCAACAGAUACCUGGGCAGGUUCCUCACUUUGUUCUCCAACAUCCAGGCUGAAGAUGAGGUAGUUUGUUACUGUGGUGCCUGAGAGUAUGAUAACAACAUGUUUCGCGGUGGUCCAGUCUGAUGGGGAACUGAGACAAAAACCUUUGCUCUUCCAAUCUGGAGUGAAGAAUGAAGAGCUCAUUUUCUCUGUGCCUUAAGAUCUUUCAAAGUCUCGAGCCAAAGGGCUUUGCACUCACUUCUCUGUGGCUGCCAUCUUACGCUGACAAUUAAGAAAAUAUCCUCCUCUAAUAGUUAGCUGAUCUCUGAUAUUAAAUGUUUAUGUUUUUACUGUAUGAUUUACAUCUGAUUGUUGCAGACUGCUGUGAUAUGUUUUUUCCUGAAUAGUGGGGUAUAAAUAUUUUUAAACAAAUAAAUAAUAUGGUAGGACUUACACACCCACCCAGCCAACCAACCAGCCAUGAGUGCACACAGUCUGUUGUGACGCCGGAGGGGACAAAUGAUGAAGAGGAAAGUUUCUCUGUCUUUUUCUGUCUGUUUCUGUAAAGGUGUCCAUUCACAGCCAGCAGUCAUUCAGCCAGACUCCCAGUCUGUGUCUCUGGGCCAGACGACUAAACUCCCCUGCUCCAAAAGUAGUGGGAGCUUGGACAGCUUUUACUGGUAUCAACAGAAACCCAGAGACGCUCCUCGUUUUGUGCUCUAUGGUGCCGACAAGAGGGGAGAAGGGAUCCCGGACCGCUUCACGGGCUCUUCCUCUGGGAACACUGGCUAUUUAACCAUCUCCAACAUCCAGGCUGAAGAUGAGGCCGUUUAUUUCUGUGUUGACUGGGAGCACACUGGUAGUAUCAUGU
Molecule: non-coding RNA, 1188 nt
Organism: Podarcis lilfordi (Lilford's wall lizard)
Lineage: Eukaryota; Metazoa; Chordata; Lepidosauria; Squamata; Lacertidae
Source: the annotation of a GenBank genome assembly